Ahaetulla prasina is the source of this 5009-nucleotide long non-coding RNA. RefSeq lists it as uncharacterized. The transcript is spliced from 3 exons. Lineage: Eukaryota; Metazoa; Chordata; Lepidosauria; Squamata; Colubridae. The record is from RefSeq and is a predicted model, not a curated record.
CUAUUGUGUGCAAGCAAAUAACAAACUGAACUUUCCCUGGAUUGUUCCACAGCUACUGACCUUAGCAGAAGUAAGGUGGGUCAUCUGGCAUGAUUUUCAGAAGACGUUUUUGCUAGCUGCUAGUGGGUCCUUUGUGCUUCAUUGACCUUGGAAAUCCAGUUGUUUUGCCUCUCGUUUCCAGUGGACAUGAAAUGAAUUGUGCCUCCUUCUUCUGAGGCAUCUGAGAAUAGCAAGCAUAGCAGAAACGUCUCUGUGGUAGCGUUGACUAAACUGUUUUCUCAGCUGGAAAUCUGGAGCCAUAAUUUCAUUUCUCAUACUGAGGCCUUUCCCGCUGGAUCACUGAAUCAGUCUUACAGAGUAUACAUGCUGUCAGUCAAGGAAAGGAAAAGCUGACUCAGAAGAUUUGGCACAGCAGAUCAAAAAGAACCCAUUGCAUUCACUUCAUGAGUUUUUCUCUUUUUUUUUCUUUCUCUCAUAUAUCAUAUAUCAUUAGCUAGUUAUCUUGCUAUCCAUUCUCUAUUUAACCAAAUCUUUCUAUACUAAAUUACACUUAGGGCUAAAAUGCAUUAAAGUGUAAACAUACUCAGCUGAAAUGAGAAUUGAGCAAAGGCAGAUAAGCAUUUCUAAAAUGAAGAGCACUAGCAAAGCCAUUUCAGUAUCAGGACAUUUUAAACAUGCACCUUCUUGUCUGGGUUUGAUUGUGGCAAAAGAGAAUAGUGUCUUCAUCGGUAUACCAGCCUCCUAAUGUUUGGGCCGAUGUAAUAUUUCUAACAGAGUUAAACUAAAUAUACAAAAAUGCGGGGUCUAGCUGAAUUCUGCAGUUUCUGUAUUUUUUUCUUUAUGUUUAGUCUAUUGGAAAUAAUCUAUUAGUGUAUUAGGAUAUUAACUUAUUUUGAAGUCAGAUAAGCAUUUGAAAACAGCUCCCUUUUUUUUCCAAUGGAGGAAGUAAAUCCUUCCCUGUCUGCAAGCAUCUACGCAUUUUUAAAAAACUGUGCACCCCUAAAGGCUGAGGUUUCAAUCCACAAUGUACUGGCCUAUUAGUCUUUGCAAAAGCAGCAAUUCUUAAAUAUGUGGAUGUAAAUACCUGAAUAUGAAUGGUGCCAAAUGUUCUCUUUGCUUUAUAAAAUGUGAAAAGAAAUAUUUGAUGGCGUCACAUAAUAGUUAACACAGCACCUUUAUUUCAUCUUCCAUAGGAAGUGCACAAUCAUAUACCUACAAAGAGAAUUUCAAACAAAAUCUCCAGGAAUAAGAGCUUUCAAUUGAAGUCACUGAUGGAUUUUAUUGUCACGCUCUUGAGCCAUGCUCAAAUUGGUUGGAUUAUGUCCAGCUAACACUCUUACCUGCUCAUCUUCAUCCCAGCUUCAUUCACAAUGCAAAUUAUAGAUGUGGUCAUUAGAUGCCUGCGACAGAAUGUUUGAACUAAGUUAUUACAUAGUGCAUUACUGUGCAAAACAUUACUGGCAAAGCAUGAACAGAUUUCAAAAAAAGGAAAGCAAAAAAGUUUAGCAUAUGUUGUUGUAUUUUUGCUAAAAAAAAGUGUGGGGGGGGCAAUUGCCUUCAACUCUCACAGCUUCUGGGCCUCAUCUGAGUGAAAGUAGAAACCCCAAAGGGAAAAACAGUUUCCAGUAAAGCAACCAAGAAUAAAACAUUUUUUAAAUGAGUAAGUAUACAAUUGUUUAUAAACAGCAUAAUUUCCUCAAUUAUCUCACUGUUGGCAAGGAGUACAUAAAUUGAGUUACAAGGCAAAAAAUGCAGUGCUGGUCAGCUCCAGCUGCCUGAACUGUUCCAAGAUGAAAUACAAAAGGUGAAACUGAUCAGGUUCCACACAUGCUUGCAGAUAUAUAUCACAUUUACAGGGGGGGGAAGAAGACACAUUCAUGGUCCUCAAGAAAAGAACAGUUCAUCCAAGAAGCCGUUCUGAAUUUAAAGUAGAUGCUAGCCAUUUUGAGCUUCAUUGGAAGCCAAAGACUUGUGAAGAUGAAUCGGAUAAGCUUUUUGCUGUGAGGAGAUUCCAGUUAUGGCUUUCCUGAUACCUACUACCAGAGCAGAAAUGAGUAAUGUUCUCUUUGAAUUAUAAAUUAUUUGCAUACUUUACGGCUGAGUUAUGCCUUGGGAACAAGCCAAUUACAGAUGGCAGAAAGUCUUAUAAAACUUUAGCUUUCAUCUUUGGGCACAAUCAGAAAAUGUUAAGCUCCCUUAAGUCCCAUAAUCAGUGAGACAAGUAUUUGCCUGUGUUGGAAGUGGCUAGUUCUCAUGGCUUAGGGUAUCAAGUCGUUAACCCACAGCUUCCCAGGCUUUGUCUCCCAAAUGAAAGAAUUGUAAUGCUAUUGCACAUUAAAAUGUGUAAGAGUCCUGGUUUGUAUGGCUGGGCAUCACCCUUCCACAAAGGAAUCUAAGACCACACUCCUCCAACAGCUGUAUGGUAGUUAUUUACACUUCUAUGAUACCAGCAUAGAAUUCUUCACAUAAUGAAGGAUUCAGAGAAAUCUGGAAUAGUUUCAAAAAAGGUCCAUAUCCUGUGACUUACUUGCAUCUUUCAAUUAACACCUGGAAGAGAGGCUGCUUAGAUAAGAUAGCUCUUCACAUUUACUCAAUUUUCUAGCUCUAACCCUAAUUAAAUAACUAUUUCCUUCUUUAAUCCUCAUUAAUAUCUAAUCUUCUUUGUUUAUUCCUAAACUGAGUAACUCUGGGAGUAGGAGGAAAAGAGAGGUUGGAGGGCUAUAAACAGCACGUGCUCACAUUCCCGAACCAGUAGCGAAGUAAUUGUAGAACAACUCAUACUAGACUACAACUAUACUCAUCAUUCUGCAAUCCAACAAGACAGACACAGACUUCAGAGGAUAAUUAGAACUGCAGAAAAAACAAUUGCUACCAACUUGCUUUCCAUUGAGGACCUGUAUACUGCAUGAGUCAAAAACUGUUUCAACUCCUAUCUUCAAAACAAUGCUACAGAGCACUGCACACCAGAACACCUAGACACAAGAACAGUUUUUUCCCAAACGCCAUCACUCUGCUAAACAAAUAAUUCCCUCAACACUGUCAAACUAUUUUACUAAAUCUGCACUACUAUUAAUCUUCUCAUUGUUCCUAUCACCCAUCUCCUUCCACUUAUGACUGUAUGACUGUAACUUUGUUGCUUGUAUCCUUACGAUUUAUAUUAAUAUUGUUUCCUGAUUGCUUCUUUGUACCCUAUGACUACCAUUAAGUGUUGUACCUUAUGAUUCUUGAUGAACGUAUCUUUUCUUUUAUGUACACUGAGAGCCUAUGCACCAAGACAAAUUCCUUGUGUGUCCAAUCACACUUGGCCAAUAAAAAAUUCUAUUCUAUUCUCGUACUAGACACAUAUCUAGCUCUGUUUAUUAAACCAUCUAGUUGCUCUGCCCAAAUGAUAAUGUAGAUUCCUAGGUUUUAAUCAAAUUUGUUUUUACUGUCAAGAAAGGAGAACAUCAAUGAAUGUAUAUUUCUUCAGAUGAGUGGAGGAGGAGUGGGGAAUGUCUUCUCUAAAUCUCCUUUUCAUUAAAUUCAGACAAGACAGUAUCUAUUCUGUAUUGCUGUUUGGAUUUAUUAAUUUGCUGCAUGAGAGCCAAUAAAGCAAAACUCAAUCCAAGCAAGACAAAAGAAAGGAUUUGAUUUAUCUGUAGAUAAUACUCUAAAUAGAGUUGCAUCAGUCCUUGCUUUAGACCAAUGUACUUAAUUUUAAAUUACUCAACUAGUCUCAGUAAGUCCAAGUACUUUAUAUAUCAGUACAUAUAUCAAUACAAUAUCAGCUAGGAAUCUGCCUACAAGAGAGAAUGUGUCAGUCCUUCAAGGUAGAUCAGACUAGAAAACCAAAAUUAUGAAUAUUAAUAUUAUUAUAAUAAAUUUCACAAGUCUGAGUGCACCUCCAUUCUUUUUAUCUACAAGAGAAUUAGGGAGGGUCAAGUCUUAGAUGCUUUCUCAAAUUAUCUUUCUGCCUCAGACUCAAAUUUCUUUUAGCUGACCAUUUUCUUGUUUGUGGUGCUUCCUCUGGUAAUCCUGAACACCUUCAUAUAUUUCAGCUUUCAUUCUAUAUCUAAGUGCUGGUCUGACAAAUCAUCUGACAUGCUAGGUUCAGACACUUGAGUGUGUUUUGUUGGAGUAUGGCACCAACAAAUAGAUAAAAUAUGACAUAGUUGGAAGGCUUUUGCACCUUCAUGGUUAAAAAAAUAAACACAAAUAAAAAAAUAUCUGUGGGAUCAGAUAAUACAUGACCAAAUCCUAUAUUUUUUGGUCACCAUGAUGUAAAAAAGAUGUGAAGACUCUAGAAAGAGUGCAGAGAAGAGCAACAAAGAUAAUUAGGAGACACAUGAAGAAUGGUUGCAGGAACUGUGUAUGUCUAGUUUAAUGAAAAGAAGGACUAGAGGAGACAUGAUAGCAGUGUUCCAGUAUCUCAGAGGCUGCCACAAAGAAGAGGGAGUCAAGCUAUUCUCCAAAGCACCUGAGGGUAGGACAAGAAGCAAUGGGUGGAAACUAAUCAAGGAGACAAGCAACUUAGAACUAAGGAGAAAUUUUCUGACAGCUAGAACAAUUAAUCAGUGGAACAACUUGCCUUCAGAAGCUGUGAAUGCUCCAACACUGGACGUUUUAAAGAAGAUGUUGGAUAACCAUUUGACUGAAAUGGUGUAAGGUUUCCUGCCUGGGCAGCGGGUUGGACUAGAAGACCUCCAAGGUCCCUUCCAACUCUGUUACUCCUACCAUCAAAAUGAUGCUAUAGAGCAUUGAACACCAGAACAACUAGACACAAGAACAGUUUUUUCCCGAAGGCCAUCACUCUGCUAAACAAAUAAUUCCCUCAACAAUGUCAAACUAUUUACUAAAUCUACACUACUAUUAAUCUUCUCAUUAUUUCCAUCACCAAUCUCUUUCCACUUAUGACUGUAUGACUGUAACUUUUUGUUGCUAUCAUUAAGGGUUAAAUUGCAACCUAUGACCAUCAUUUGUGUUGUAAAUGUUGUACCUUUGAUGAAGGUUUUUUUUUUCUUUUAUGUACA